Long non-coding RNA from Rosa chinensis, 637 nucleotides. RefSeq lists it as uncharacterized. Lineage: Eukaryota; Viridiplantae; Streptophyta; Magnoliopsida; Rosales; Rosaceae. The transcript has 3 exons. The record is from RefSeq and is a predicted model, not a curated record.
UCUUUGUAACAUUUCCCAGAUCUAAUCACUCACACAUUCCUUAAUUCUCUCCCAUUUUCUUCCAUUUCACCUUAAAGCCCUCUUUGGACCUUUGCCUUUGGCUCCUUCACCUCUUUCAUCUCGUCUCAAUUUUACCCCCUUACAAAAACACUCGAAUUUACGAAAAUGCCUUCUGCUUUCUGGUUCUUCCUUUUGAUUUUCCUCCUAUGCCUCAGCUAUGUCUCUUCGGCGGCGGAGCCGGAGCCGGUGACCUGCUCAGGGAUAGUGCCAAUGAAGUACCGUUACGAUAAGAUUUCGAUAGCGGAUUUUGGGGGCAUCGGUGAUGGUUAACACCAAGGCGUUUCGGGCGGCGAUAUAUCUAUCGGAUUCAGCAUUUGCACAGGAGAGGAGGCACGCUUCUUUACAUACCUCCUGGGGUGUACUUAACGGAGAGCUUCAAUCUCACUAGCCACAUGACUCUACUUGGCUAGAGGUGCUGUUAUCAAAGCCACACAGCAACAUUGUUGUCCGGUAUGUCACAAUAUUGGCUCCAGCUGACUCUCCCAACACCGAUGGAAUUGAUCCAGAUUCAAGCUCUAAUGUCUGCAUAGAGGACUCGUACAUAUCUACUGGAGAUGAUCUUGUGGCUGUAAAAAGU